Molecule: ribosomal RNA, 256 nt
Filed under: uncultured bacterium
Lineage: Bacteria
Description: partial 16S ribosomal RNA
Rfam family: Bacterial small subunit ribosomal RNA
Source: RNAcentral
UAAUACGAAGGGAGCUAGCGUUGUUCGGAAUGACUGGGCGUAAAGGGCGCGUAGGCGGUUUUAUAAGUCAGAUGUGAAAGCCUUGGGCUUAACCUGAGAAUAGCAUUUGAGACUGUAAGACUAGAGGACGAGAGAGGAAAGUGGAAUUACGAGUGUAGAGGUGAAAUUCGUAGAUAUUCGUAAGAACACCAGUGGCGAAGGCGGCUUUCUGGCUCGUAUCUGACGCUAAGGCGCGAAAGCGUGGGGAGCAAACAGG